GGUUCCACUCCAUAUACCGACUGUCGCUGAUAGUGUAGUGAUUUUCCAGCAGCGGAAAAUAUAGCAUCUGUUUCGACAGAUUGGUACUCUGUUGUAGAGAAAAGCUCAAAGAAGAGACGCCAGGCGCAUGCUCCCGAUAGUUGUCCGUACAACCACCACCGAUAACAACAACGUUGGACCGAGCGGCCGCAAGACCUUCGCCGAAAUGCAGAAAAAGCUUGCGCAUUUCUAAAAAUGUCUAUAUCCUGCUGGCGUUAAAGGACCGACGAGCAUCAAAAGAGAUAGCUCCGAGUAUUUGCCAUUCAGAUAAGAACCGCGGAAACACAGAAGUAGAACACCAUCUGAAUGAGCAGCUCUUCUCUCCAAUAUGUGUGUAAAGCAAAAAAAAAAAACGAGCAUGCAGGGCAAACAUAGUCACUACGAGUGUGUUCGAAAGCUGAUUUCCAGAUUUGACCAAUCCUCGCGGGGGAAUUUUACGAUGCUCGUGAAGCUUUCCCAUGUGCUGGCUCCACAAAAGGACGCGAGAAACGACAGCCGCGAUUAAAUCUGCGAAGUUGAGGGUGGAGAGAGACACACUAUAAGAAUUGUGUCUAUAUGUACAAAUACUAGCUGUAGCUAGCUAGCGAUAUUUGGUUUAGCGUGGUAUUUGAAGAUUAAUGUUAAGUUCUUUCAUUUUCAAUGCCGGCACACUUAGUUGAUUACUGUUGCUCUGUUCUUUUGUCUAUUCUGCAAAGCUUAGAUUUCUGUCAUUGGCAUAGUAUUAGUGAAUAGUAAAGAAUAAGCAAAGUAAAAACUGCAUCUGGGUUAGAACUAAAGUUUAAUACAAGCUACCUUAAGAGAUCUAAAUCUAUACAUAGGUGUGUAGGUGAAGGAAAUACACACUUCUCUUCAUUCUAAUUACGCAACGCAGAUGGGAUUCGGAUGCAUUAACAAUCGUACAAGUUCGUAAAUCGGCAAUUAUACCACCUCUACUCUGGAGACACUCGCCAUGAGCGGCAGAAGGCAUGCGCUUUAUACCCAUACUCUGGAACACCGUAGAUGGUAGUAUGGCUCACCCCGUUCGACGACAGGGCAGCCGCCACAAUCCACAGUAGGAGCCAUAACCUCUUUCGACUACUUCAAAAGCGAACAAUAAAACGCAUUCCCCACGACAUGAUUUAUAGUA
Molecule: long non-coding RNA, 1165 nt
Organism: Wyeomyia smithii (pitcher-plant mosquito)
Lineage: Eukaryota; Metazoa; Arthropoda; Insecta; Diptera; Culicidae
Exons: 3
Source: RefSeq, a predicted model, not a curated record